CCUGAAUGCUGAAGGCAGAACAACACAGUGACUCUAAAGGUAAACAAUUAUUUUGCUACUUCAAAUACAACUGCUUUUUUUAUUCUAUUGACACAGAAAUUCAUUAAGCAAGAACUAGAGAACUGCAGCACCCUCCAAAGAACAGAGAGCUGCUUAAAAACUACUUGUUUUCCUUGUCCUACCAUCUAGCAGCACUGUUUCUUCAAAAGAGGUCUUCUGUCCUUAACAUGGCUGCCAUGCCUUACAUAACAUCAAUGAAUGAGAAAGUAGUUAUUUUGUUUCCUAGGACACACACUGCCCAUUAGCCAUAUGAUUCUCCAUAUGGCACAGCAAACAGCCCAGACAAAGCUUUGCAGCAACGCAGCUCCAAAGAUCAGCAUCCUCUGAGGAUAGCAGCAACAGUAAUUCAGACCUCACAAGCUCCAAAUUCCCUACGAUGAAACAACAAACUGCAGAGACUAAGACCAGAGAAAUCAGCCAAAACGAGACAAGGACAACACACCCCAUAGCAACAAAGAAUUACUGACCAGAUGAGAGACUGGCUUACAGACACUGCUGUGGCUCCUGCAUCUACAGACAACCAUGCAUGGCAAAGGCUUGCUUGGGACUUGUACAUCUCAUGCUGGUGACCUGUGACUGGUAGAUUCUUCAAAUGCCUCAGAAAGAACAAUUGUCAGUGCUGGAGAAAGUGGAUGCAAAGACUUAUUGUUUUCCCAGUACCAUCUGCUGCACUGGGGAAAACAAAUCAUAACCCUGUAAGACUGAAUGCAAAGCUGGACAUUUUUGAUGAUUAUUCCUGCAGUAUUUGUUACAAAAUUUACUCCUCAUUUCCACAAAGAAAGAGCAGCUGUAAUGAGAUUUCUGUGGUUGCACAACAGAUUUCUAAUGCUUUGUGCUGUCUUCCCAACUUAUCUGCAGUUUUUUGCAAGUUAACCAGUCCCUAUUUUCAGCAGGGAAAUCAUCUUUUGAUAGGUUCCUAACUAGUAAGGCCAUGAAAAGUAACUGCCUAUUAGACAUGUUUAUGGGCCUCAUUCUCUUAUUCCUAUUUUUGUCAUUCUUUGCCUCCAUUGCG
Non-coding RNA from Zonotrichia albicollis (white-throated sparrow), 1072 nucleotides. NCBI's taxonomy places the organism in Eukaryota, Metazoa, Chordata, Aves, Passeriformes, Passerellidae. The record is from RefSeq and is a predicted model, not a curated record.